CUGCUGACUGAUAGGAUGGGAGGGA
This 25-nucleotide non-coding RNA is filed under the name Cricetulus griseus (Chinese hamster). Lineage: Eukaryota; Metazoa; Chordata; Mammalia; Rodentia; Cricetidae. The record is from RNAcentral.